Long non-coding RNA from Oryzias melastigma (Indian medaka), 635 nucleotides. RefSeq lists it as uncharacterized. The record is from RefSeq and is a predicted model, not a curated record. The transcript is spliced from 2 exons. NCBI's taxonomy places the organism in Eukaryota, Metazoa, Chordata, Actinopteri, Beloniformes, Adrianichthyidae.
UCAAAGGCUGAAGAGUGUCCCCGCUGUUAGCAUCACGAAACAGUGAAAACUGUUGCUCCUGUACUACAUCCCAUUAAAGUUCAGGAAGCUUGGAGUGUCCUUGGGAUGGAUUUGAUUGGUCCCCUUCCUACCACCGCAAAGGGCAAAAGGUUCAUUCUAACUGCCACAGACCUGUUUACAAAGUGGGUGGUUGCAAAAAUCCCUCUACACCAAAACUGCCACAGAGGUGUCCAGACAAAUUGUCAACAUCAUGUAUUACUUUGGACUUGUGGAGAUGAUCAUCACUGAUCAAGGGCGGGAAUUUGUGAAUGAUGUAUAGCUACCUAUAUAAAAACAUUGCAUUAGCAGCAUUGAAUAUUUGGAAUGAAUUGUACUUAAUCUGUCUACAGGUCAACCGUGGUGUUUUUGAGGCUUUGGGAGUGAAACACUGCAUAACAUCAGCCUACCAUCCCCAGGCCAACGGACAGGAUGAGCGCACCAAUCGCAACAUAAAAACAGCGCUUGCGAAAUACUGUUGGGAGGACAAAAACGACUGGGACAUCUAUUUAAGGGGAAUAGUGGCAGGCAUAAACACAUCUAAGCAGGUAACAUUGUGUAAAAAUGUGUGAAAGAACCAUGUUCACUCAGACAAAAAA